CCCUAUUCUUCCCUCUGUGGCUGAUGCCUGCUUGCCUUCCCCAGCCUCUCCUUCCCUCUAACCUGCAAGCCCCCUUCUCCCUGGCCCCAGGCCACUCUGAGCCACCCUCUCAAUCUGUACCCUCAGCCUCUGCAACAGAGCCUGGCGUGGUGUUGCCCCACUGCAUGUUUGUUGACUGACUGGCUGAUGGAUGCAGAGCCCGUCCUUCCUAAUGGUUCAGACUCAGGCGUCAUCAGCCCAGAUGGCUCCGAGGGAAGGGAGAGGCCACUCCGACUGCUCUGAGGUCCAGGGAAGGGGCCUGUGCUGCCGCUUGGAGGGUGCCAUGCCCAGAGCCUCUGCCCCUAGCCUCAGCCUCGCCUACUCACUGGGGGCUCCAGCACCCCCGGCCACCCCAGGACUCCCGAAGAGGCUGCUAGGUCGGCCUGCCCAAAGAGCGGUGAGGAGCGUAUGUGAAGAGCCCCAGUCUUGAGGAGCAGCCUGUAUCUGGAGAGAGGGGAGCCCCGGACCAGAGGUGGGGGACAGGAAGCCAUCGCCCCACCCUGCCUCCUCCCCCACCACAGGUACCAGGCCCGGAAACCACGGAAAGGGGAACUUGGUCUUUUCUUGUUUUGCUCUCAACCCCUUCCUGUCUCCAAGCCCAGGGCAGC
Molecule: long non-coding RNA, 647 nt
Filed under: Homo sapiens (human)
Lineage: Eukaryota; Metazoa; Chordata; Mammalia; Primates; Hominidae
Description: HSALNT0385299
Source: RNAcentral